CAAGUCGAACGCGAAAGCCCCGCAAGGGGUAAGUAGAGUGGCAAACGGGUGAGUAACACGUGGGUGACCUGCCUUCGAGUGGGGGAUAACGUCCCGAAAGGGACGCUAAUACCGCAUGACAUCCUGCGUUUGGAAACGCGGAGAUCAAAGCCGGGGAUCGCAAGACCUGGCGCUUGAAGAGGGGCCCGCGCCUGAUUAGCUAGUUGGUGGGGUAACGGCCUACCAAGGCGACGAUCAGUAUCCGGCCUGAGAGGGCGGACGGACACACUGGGACUGAGACACGGCCCAGACUCCUACGGGAGGCAGCAGUGGGGAAUUGUUCGCAAUGGGCGCAAGCCUGACGACGCAACGCCGCGUGGAGGACGAAGAUCUUCGGGUCGUAAACUCCUGUCGAGCGGGAAGAACGCUUCCCGGGUGAAUAAUCCGGGGAGGUGACGGUACCGCUAAAGGAAGCCCCGGCUAACUCCGUGCCAGCAGCCGCGGUAAUACGGGGGGGGCAAGCGUUGUUCGGAAUUACUGGGCGUAAAGGGCUCGUAGGCGGCCAACUAAGUCGGAUGUGAAAUCCCCAGGCUUAACCUGGGAACUGCAUCCGAUACUGGAUGGCUUGAAUCCGGGAGAGGGAUGCAGAAUUCCAGGUGUAGCGGUGAAAUGCGUAGAUAUCUGGAGGAAUACCGGUGGCGAAGGCGGCAUCCUGGACCGGCAUUGACGCUGAGUGAGCGAAAGCCAGGGGAGCAAACGGGAUUAGAUACCCCGGUAGUCCUGGCCCUAAACGAUGAAUGCUUGGUGUGGCGGGUAUCGAUCCCUGCCGUGCCGAAGCU
RNAcentral lists this ribosomal RNA (818 nucleotides) under uncultured Acidobacteriota bacterium. Its description in RNAcentral is "bacterial SSU rRNA". It matches the Rfam family "Bacterial small subunit ribosomal RNA", at positions 58 to 853 of the family's 1533-position model. The record is from RNAcentral. Lineage: Bacteria; Pseudomonadati; Acidobacteriota.